This 468-nucleotide ribosomal RNA is filed under the name uncultured bacterium. RNAcentral's name for it is "partial 16S ribosomal RNA". It matches the Rfam family "Bacterial small subunit ribosomal RNA", at positions 28 to 507 of the family's 1533-position model. The record is from RNAcentral.
GACGAACGCUGGCGGCGUGCUUAACACAUGCAAGUCGAACGGAAAGGCCCUGCUUUUGUGGGGUGCUCGAGUGGCGAACGGGUGAGUAACACGUGAGUAACCUGCCCUUGACUUUGGGAUAACUUCAGGAAACUGGGGCUAAUACCGGAUAGGAGCUCCUGCUGCAUGGUGGGGGUUGGAAAGUUUCGGCGGUUGGGGAUGGACUCGCGGCUUAUCAGCUUGUUGGUGGGGUAGUGGCUUACCAAGGCUUUGACGGGUAGCCGGCCUGAGAGGGUGACCGGCCACAUUGGGACUGAGAUACGGCCCAGACUCCUACGGGAGGCAGCAGUGGGGAAUAUUGCACAAUGGGCGGAAGCCUGAUGCAGCAACGCCGCGUGCGGGAUGACUGCCUUCGGGUUGUAAACUGCUUUCGCCUGUGACGAAGCGUGAGUGACGGUAAUGGGUAAAGAAGCACCGGCUAACUACGUG